AAGGCAUUUAUUUUUUCAUAUAACACAUUCUUGGGGUUUGGAGCCAACCGCCUCCAGGGAGGGUCACAAAUCCACUCAAUGCCCCCGACAACUCUGGUUUAUGUUUGAAGGUCAGCUUCAGCUGAAAGAUGAGUAAAACUGUGGUGAAGUCAGAUGUUCCCUGGUGGCGCUGGGGCCUAGGGGCACAGAUUAUUUCAACAAGGCUGCAUGAAAAAGUCCAGUUCAGAACAUUUGCUUCAGAUGGAUUCACCUGUUCAAGGCAGCCAGAGGAACAAAACCUGUCCACUGGGCUAAAUCCUUCCCAUGGCACUCACCUGGCGCCUUUACCUGGCCACCGCUCUUCUGGAAGGGCUUGUGGGGCUGCGCGGAGAGGGAGUGAGGUGGCCUUCCCUUUUCCUUUUCUCCAGUGAAUAAAGUAUUGCUACUUACCCAGGUUUUCUCCUGCCGCUAGGAGAGCCAGUCGGGACCCAGGGUGUCCAAUCAGGCCACCAAAGCUCCGCACUACUCGCAAAGACAAUUAUUCCAGGGGGGCUUCUGACAGUGGGAAAAGAGAAUUAAUUAAGUCUCCCUGUAUGUUCUAGAGCUAGUGUGGUUAUGCCUUCUCUCAGAGCCUCGUAAAUUUGGAAUAGUGAUGUAUUAUUAGAGAUUUUCGUGGAGUUCUAGAACUGAAGGGUCUUUAAGCGAUCAUGUAGCCAAGCAACUUCCUUUCAUAAAGACGAGAACAAGCCCAGAGAGGCUGUGUGACAGAUUGGAGCCUACACCAGGCUCUGAGAGCAGUACCGAGGCGACGUGACCUCCUUGUGACCACAAAUCCCCGCCAGGCUGUCCAGAAGCAAUACAUUCUCCUGACCUGCGGGGCCUGCCAGCGUGCAUCGGGGAUCGGAGCGCACUCUGAAAGCCAGAAGGGGACGAUGAGAGGCCAAGAUGGGAAGUGCAUCACGUGCAACUUCUCUCACAACACAUGCAGGGCCAAGCUGUUGCAGGUGCAGGGGAAGUCCCGCCUAGGUUUUCUCACCGCGUCCGCAGCCCUCAAUCGUCCCGCCUCUCCUCCGCACAGUGGGGAGCCCAGGCCUCUGGAUGCCCGCAGCCAGGAGGGGAUUUUCAUUUCCACCCUGCGCAGCGCCCUCCCCGGAGCCCCGAGCAGAAAGCGGCCCAGGCCCAGCCGCUGGAGCGAUCGCAGCCUCACAAGUAUUUCUGUGCCACGAGGAUCCGGUGGCUCAAUAAACAGAAGCCCCCGGGAGGGUCCCCUGUGCUGAAGCUCCCCACGCCGCGCGCCCAGGCCUGGCGAACCCCGGGGGUUUGGCUCCAGCUCUGCAGAGGCCCCCCCUGCCCCCNCGCCCCCAACUCUAAUGUCCCAGCAUGA
This 1363-nucleotide long non-coding RNA is filed under the name Vulpes vulpes (red fox). Its description in RNAcentral is "lncRNA (ENSVVUG00000013252.1)". Lineage: Eukaryota; Metazoa; Chordata; Mammalia; Carnivora; Canidae. The record is from RNAcentral.